Molecule: small nucleolar RNA, 97 nt
Filed under: Macleaya cordata
Lineage: Eukaryota; Viridiplantae; Streptophyta; Magnoliopsida; Ranunculales; Papaveraceae
Description: Small nucleolar RNA Z103
Rfam family: Small nucleolar RNA Z103
About the family: This family consists of several snoRNA Z103 sequences which are members of the C/D class of snoRNA which contain the C (UGAUGA) and D (CUGA) box motifs. This family seems to be found exclusively in plants.
Source: Rfam by way of RNAcentral
UUAGAGGUGAUGAUCCUUUCCCCAAAUGAUCGACUUUGAUUAUACUGUGCGUUUUUUUAUUCUCUUUCUAGAGAAUUUAGCCAGAAAUCUGAUCCAU